CCUACGGGAGGCAGCAGUGAGGAAUAUUGGUCAAUGGACGAGAGUCUGAACCAGCCAAGUAGCGUGAAGGAUGACUGCCCUAUGGGUUGUAAACUUCUUUUAUAUGGGAAUAAAAUGUUCCACGUGUGGGAUUUUGUAUGUACCAUAUGAAUAAGGAUCGGCUAACUCCGUGCCAGCAGCCGCGGUAAUACGGAGGAUCCGAGCGUUAUCCGGAUUUAUUGGGUUUAAAGGGAGCGUAGGUGGAUUGGUAAGUCAGUUGUGAAAGUUUGCGGCUCAACCGUAAAAUUGCAGUUGAAACUGGCAGUCUUGAGUGCAGUAGAGGUGGGCGGAAUGCGUGGUGUAGCGGUGAAAUGCUUAGAUAUCACGAAGAACUCCGAUUGCGAAGGCAGUUCACUGGACUGCAACUGACACUGAGGCUCGAAAGUGUGGGUAUCAAACAGGAUUAGAUACCCCAGUAGUC
This 460-nucleotide ribosomal RNA is filed under the name uncultured bacterium. RNAcentral's name for it is "partial 16S ribosomal RNA". It matches the Rfam family "Bacterial small subunit ribosomal RNA", at positions 338 to 795 of the family's 1533-position model. The record is from RNAcentral.